GACUGCAGCUGCAAGCCUGCAAUAGCCACUGCCAGCGCUACCGACUGAGCUAGAGCUCGUCCGCUCGUUGCAUGCAUCUAGCUAUACACUGGCACUGCCCGCACGCCAACUCGAUGUGCAUGAUUGACGAACAAAUGCACGUACAUUGCGAGGGCCUAUAAAAACGCGAGUUGCAUACACGCACUCAAUUCUUAACUUUUUCUCUCUGAACCCAGGUGAUCGAGUUGCAUACGCUCAACUCUUGCUCUUUUCUCUGUGAACCCAUCCUCCCAUAAUUUGAUGGAUUCGGGCUCAUCCUCGCGCGGCGGUGACGACAAGAAGCCGUCGGGCCAAGGUGGGCUCGGUUGUUUCAAUCUUAUUAAUAAGCAGGGUUCGAAAAACAAAGACAAACCGAUAGAACGAGCACCUGAGGCUGUGCGUCUCGAUGUCACGGAUCGUAGGCGCGGUUCCAACCAUAACUAUCCACCCAUGGGCUCGGACUACCUUCACCACCCGGAUGAUAGCAUCACUGGGUUACCGGAGUUUACUGGGAUCCCAAACCCGCCGAUGGCGAAAGCCCCAGAAUUUCAGGGUCCAAGGAGCGCUGGGAACUCCUGAACAAACCUGCAAGAUAAAUUGGCAGUCUGAGAUCCCUUUGCACGGAUAUGUAUUGUACUAAUUAUUUAAUUACCAUGCAUUUUCCAGUGUUUUAGUAUGCGUUCCCGCUUCUAUUAAGUACCUCGUCAUCAUUUAUUGUAUUGGCUAUUUUAGUAUUUUUCUAUAACUUUCUCAGUAUAUGCCCUUGCGUUUCUACCUAUUGUAGGCGCUAUAUAUGCACAAAGCCAUUUCAUUUGCCAUUAAUUUGUUGUGAA
Molecule: long non-coding RNA, 851 nt
Organism: Panicum virgatum (switchgrass)
Lineage: Eukaryota; Viridiplantae; Streptophyta; Magnoliopsida; Poales; Poaceae
Exons: 3
Source: RefSeq, a predicted model, not a curated record